RNAcentral lists this ribosomal RNA (468 nucleotides) under uncultured bacterium. Its description in RNAcentral is "partial 16S ribosomal RNA". It matches the Rfam family "Bacterial small subunit ribosomal RNA", at positions 28 to 507 of the family's 1533-position model. The record is from RNAcentral.
GACGAACGCUGGCGGCGUGCUUAACACAUGCAAGUCGAACGGAAAGGCCCUGCUUUUGUGGGGUGCUCGAGUGGCGAACGGGUGAGUAACACGUGAGUAACCUGCCCUUGACUUUGGGAUAACUUCAGGAAACUGGGGCUAAUACCGGAUAGGAGCUCCUGCUGCAUGGUGGUGGUUGGAAAGUUUCGGCGGUUGGGGAUGGACUCGCGGCUUAUCAGCUUGUUGGUGGGGUAGUGGCUUACCAAGGCUUUGACGGGUAGCCGGCCUGAGAGGGUGACCGGCCACAUUGGGACUGAGAUACGGCCCAGACUCCUACGGGAGGCAGCAGUGGGGAAUAUUGCACAAUGGGCGGAAGCCUGAUGCAGCAACGCCGCGUGCGGGAUGACGGCCUUCGGGUUGUAAACCGCUUUCGCCGGUGACGAAGCGUGAGUGACGGUAAUGGGUAAAGAAGCACCGGCUAACUACGUG